ACAUCACAGCCCACGGGCAGCAUCACAGGGCUGGCUUUGAUGCCAAGACAUGUGGAGUGUGUUGCAGGGAACAGCUCCUGAACAAAACUGGCCUUGGUGGAGACCUAACACCUUGGGGCAGCAGCAGGCUCUGCACAGGCAACCUGGUGACUUUUCCGAUUACACUAGAGACUGAGAAGAGGAGUUGAUGCUUCCCAAGGCACAGGCUCCUCCUAAGAUAAGUGAACACUGACAUUUUGGGGAAUACUUCUCUGGAAGUUUUCAUUUGGACAAGCCUCUGGCUUCUGUUGUGCUCCAGUGAU
Long non-coding RNA from Nycticebus coucang (slow loris), 302 nucleotides. RefSeq lists it as uncharacterized. The transcript has 3 exons. The record is from RefSeq and is a predicted model, not a curated record. NCBI's taxonomy places the organism in Eukaryota, Metazoa, Chordata, Mammalia, Primates, Lorisidae.